Molecule: long non-coding RNA, 555 nt
Organism: Canis lupus familiaris (dog)
Lineage: Eukaryota; Metazoa; Chordata; Mammalia; Carnivora; Canidae
Exons: 4
Source: RefSeq, a predicted model, not a curated record
GUUAAGACAAUUUUUGUUUUUGUUUUUUUUUUACAAACUUAGUGUCUGUGAAAGUAAUACAAAGAUCAGCUGGUAAAGAGCUCCUGACUCAAGCGGUUGGGCCCAAAAACAGUUUAAAAAUGCCAAGCCCCUUCCCCCAGCAUUUCUCUUCCAACAUCCAACUCCAUUUGGGUACCAGCCCUGGCAGCCCAGCCCAUGAGCGGUCUCUCCAAAGCAGUGGUGAAAAUCAUGGUUGGUAGAUUCCUACACAUCACCAAAAAGAGGAAGGGCCAUUUGAGGACACAGUGAGAAGCUAGUCACCCGCAAGCCAAGGAGAGAGGCCUCCGGAGUAACCAAAUCUGCUGACAGCUUGAUCUUGGACUUCCAGCCUCCAGAACAACACAAAAUAAAUUUCUGUGGUUUAAGCUACACAGAAAUGAGAAUGCUGUAUGCAACCAGAGAGGCUGUUUCCACAUCUGGCUGCCAAUUAAUUGCUUGGUACUUGCCCUCAGCUGUUCAUUAUCCUUCUGUAGGCAUCAGUGACACUUAGAAAAGCCAUCCAAUCUCAUUGCUCUA